CGGCAACAGCUCAAAUUUGAAAUCUGGCUCUCGGGCCCGAGUUGUAAUUUGUAGAGGGUGCUUUGGCGUUGGCUGUGGUCUAAGUUCCUUGGAACAGGACGUCGCAGAGGGUGAGAGCCCCGUA
RNAcentral lists this ribosomal RNA (124 nucleotides) under Exosporium sp. RNAcentral describes it as "partial large subunit ribosomal RNA". It matches the Rfam family "Eukaryotic large subunit ribosomal RNA", at positions 99 to 225 of the family's 3401-position model. The record is from RNAcentral. Lineage: Eukaryota; Fungi; Ascomycota; Dothideomycetes.